This 249-nucleotide ribosomal RNA is filed under the name uncultured bacterium. Its description in RNAcentral is "partial 16S ribosomal RNA". It matches the Rfam family "Bacterial small subunit ribosomal RNA", at positions 796 to 1041 of the family's 1533-position model. The record is from RNAcentral.
CACGCCCUAAACGAUGUCAACUAGGUGUUGGUGGGGUUAAACCCAUUAGUACCGUAGCUAACGCGUGAAGUUGACCGCCUGGGGAGUACGGCCGCAAGGUUAAAACUCAAAGGAAUUGACGGGGACCCGCACAAGCGGUGGAUGAUGUGGAUUAAUUCGAUGCAACGCGAAAAACCUUACCUACCCUUGACAUGUCCAGAAGCCUGAAGAGAUUUGGGUGUGCUCGAAAGAGAACUGGAACACAGGUGC